Molecule: ribosomal RNA, 208 nt
Filed under: uncultured bacterium
Lineage: Bacteria
Description: partial 16S ribosomal RNA
Rfam family: Bacterial small subunit ribosomal RNA
Source: RNAcentral
AGUAACACGUAGGAACGUACCCCAAACCUGAGGCAUAAGCACCAGAAAUGGUGUCUAAUACCGCAUGUGAUCUUCGGAUUAAAGCUUCGGCGGUUUGGGAACGGCCUGCGCAUGAUUAGCUUGUUGGUGAGGUAAUGGCUCACCAAGGCAAUGAUCAUUAGCUGGUCUGAGAGGAUGAUCAGCCAGACUGGGACUGAGAACGGCCCAG